This is a non-coding RNA of Vigna umbellata (rice bean), 239 nucleotides long. Lineage: Eukaryota; Viridiplantae; Streptophyta; Magnoliopsida; Fabales; Fabaceae. The record is from RefSeq and is a predicted model, not a curated record.
ACCGUUGAAAUUUCGAAUAGGUGGUGUCCUUUCGCUCACGGAGUUGAGAGCUUCCCCUCCAUCCGAUUAAAUUUCCAUUUGAGCGGGUGGUUGUAGGGCACUGUUUGGGUCUUCACUGUGAAGGCACUGUUAGGGCACUAUAGCUGGUUGUACUGCUCAACUUCAAGUAGGUGAUGAUGUACCAUUGGAGCAAGCUUUGGAAGUUGAGGAAGACCCAACCCCUAGUGCUUAUGAUUUCU